RNAcentral lists this transfer RNA (74 nucleotides) under bacterium. RNAcentral's name for it is "tRNA-Val". The record is from RNAcentral.
GUUGACGUGGGGGAAUUGGCAGACCCGCUGUGGACGCACAGAGUUUGAUAGUUCAAAUCUAUCCGUUAGCACCA